Molecule: ribosomal RNA, 468 nt
Filed under: uncultured bacterium
Lineage: Bacteria
Description: partial 16S ribosomal RNA
Rfam family: Bacterial small subunit ribosomal RNA
Source: RNAcentral
GACGAACGCUGGCGGCGUGCUUAACACAUGCAAGUCGAACGGAAAGGCCCUGCUUUUGUGGGGUGCUCGAGUGGCGAACGGGUGAGUAACACGUGAGUAACCUGCCCUUGACUUUGGGAUAACUUCAGGAAACUGGGGCUAAUACCGGAUAGGAGCUCCUGCUGCAUGGGGGGGGUUGGAAAGUUUCGGCGGUGGGGGAUGGAUUCGCGGCUUAUCAGCUUGUUGGUGGGGGAGUGGCUUACCAAGGCUUUGAUGGGUAGCCGGCCUGAGAGGGUGACCGGCCACAUUGGGACUGAGAUACGGCCCAGACUCCUACGGGAGGCAGCAGUGGGGAAUAUUGCACAAUGGGCGGAAGCCUGAUGCAGCAACGCCGCGUGCGGGAUGACGGCCUUCGGGUUGUAAACCGCUUUCGCCUGUGACGAAGCGUGAGUGACGGUAAUGGGUAAAGAAGCACCGGCUAACUACGUG